CUUGAUUAGCAGACAUAUUUAUUCACAAUAAAAUAAAAGUUCACUGGUAAUUCCAGCCAUAAAGAAUUACACAUGAUGGUUCAAAAAUCCAAUGAAAUAUUCUAAGUUCACAAGUAAUACUAAAUUAUUGAAUCAACUACGUAAGACAUCCAUCCAGUUUAAGAACAUGGCGACUACUACCUCUCUAACCAUAUGGGUGACUCUCAGAACGAGAUUUCCUGCCCAUAAUUCUCAAUUAGGUUUCACUUUCACGUGAAACACAACCAAAAGUUCUACUUCGUGAUUCUCACUAAUUCAUGUCACAAACAAUGAUGUGACAAUGGACAAAUGAAAUACUUGAAUAGCUGGACACGAAACUGGAACUAGGAUAAGGAUUUAAUGUUGAGAAAUCAAAGGAAAUACGGAAACAUUCAUUGCAUGAAAUGUUUAAUAGUUGUCAACAGUUUAUAUUAUAAAACAAGAAAUAUAUAAAAUAUAAAAAGACAAUAUCUUCUUUAAUCCAAAUUAUAGAGCGAUUAAUUUUGCUCUUAAUAACUUACGAAGGUUAAAUUAAAACAAAAAAGAUUUUUUUUCUUUUUCUACAUUUAAAAAUAAUAACGGUCAAACUAGAUUCCCAGUGUG
Molecule: non-coding RNA, 621 nt
Organism: Biomphalaria pfeifferi
Lineage: Eukaryota; Metazoa; Mollusca; Gastropoda; Planorbidae
Source: the annotation of a GenBank genome assembly